GGGAUUUUGAUUUUAUUUAUUAUAUUAUAGGGCACAUGGGCUUGCUUUGGCUGAUUAGAUUCACGAAUGGGAUUAAAAUUAGUUUGAGGGUGCAUUUUCAGUACCCAUAAAUAAGGUGAAAUUUCAAUUCACUGUGUGAGAUUUGGUUGAUGAUUUCUUCUCUUUCUUUACUUGUCCAAAACAUAUGUAUACAAUUUGAAUUAAAAGCUCAAAUUCAAAUACUUGGAUUUCAUAUUUGCUAUCCAAAUCAUAUUAUUAAGAAUUUUGGAGCAAAAAUUCGGGUGUCCAUUUUUUCUUUGGAUUCUUACAGUUUCAUCUCCUCAGAAUUUAACUAGUAAGAUGAGUGCUGAAUGAGUGUUUGCAUAUUAAUGAAGUGAAACAUAAUAAUGAAAAAAGAAAGAAGAAAGAACGUGGAAAGAAACCUAUAAAUUAUUAUUGUGAUGAAAAAUGGAAUUCCAGAUUUCUGCUUGUUACAAAGAGGAUAUUUUGUUGUAGAUAAUUUGUGAUAUAUUGGUAAUUUUACUCUGUAGAUAAGCUUCAGUAACU
RNAcentral lists this unclassified non-coding RNA (546 nucleotides) under Hevea brasiliensis (rubber tree). The record is from RNAcentral. Lineage: Eukaryota; Viridiplantae; Streptophyta; Magnoliopsida; Malpighiales; Euphorbiaceae.